Long non-coding RNA from Triticum aestivum (bread wheat), 686 nucleotides. RefSeq lists it as uncharacterized. Lineage: Eukaryota; Viridiplantae; Streptophyta; Magnoliopsida; Poales; Poaceae. The record is from RefSeq and is a predicted model, not a curated record. The transcript is spliced from 3 exons.
AGAGGGACGAGGAGACUGGGAAGGAACCAACUAUUCUACAACUUUGGUAGAUCACUCAUACACGAAAUGGAUCGUGGUCUAAUGAAGAAUCACAGACUGUUUAUGACAAUGCACGCAGCCAGAUUAGGGAGAAAGAAGGAAAGAUUGGUGGUCCAAUUUCAAGUGAAGAGCAAAAAAAUAUUUUCUAGAAUACCUAUAGAUCUACUAUGGAAAUGACAUCAUUGAAGCCUUGUGGCCGAGGAUACAUGGCUAAGCUGCCUAGCGGUUCUGAAAGACUACAUUCUGAAAUCCAGAGGCAAAAUGCUGAGCUAACCCUCGAGGUUCAUGACUUAAGGUGGCAAAUUGUUGAACAACAGGCAGAGAGGCAAAGAGAACGAGAAGAAGAGCGAGUUGCCAGGGAAAAACAGCUUGAGGAGGAAUGCAUAGCAAGGCAGAGAGAACUUGAGGAGGCUAAGCAAGCAAUGAUGCAUGAUAUUAUGAAUGAGGUUAGGCAAUCAAUGAGGUCGGAUGUUGAGCAGAUAUUGGGAACUCGACGGGAUGAUGCACAUCAGUUUUGCCAAGCAAGUGAUGCUCCAAGAAACAGAACUGGAAAUCGGUCAAGUUCUCUGUUUAAAAAUUCGAGCAUGAUUACUCAACACCAGCUUAUGAAAGCACCUAAACACCAUCGUCGUCCUCCAAGUGAAAAG